AAUUACAAGAAUGGAAAGUUUAAUCAAAAGAAUAAAAUUUUUCCAAACAUGAUGAUCUCUGCACACAUGUGAAAUAAAAGGAAGCAGCAAUUGUGGAUAACAAAACAUGAACAACAGCGACCUUAAAUCAUGACAAUGAAAUUGAAACAAAAAAUAAAGAAAAUCAAUUCAAAAUCGUUAAAAAUAGAAUAACAAAACUAGCCAGGAUAACUAAACCCCUAAAACCCUAAGCCCUAAGCCCUAAGCCCUAAACCAUGGCAUUAAUCAGAAAAUGUAAUUUACAUUAACCGGGAUGUGUAAAAAAAGGGAAAAAGAUUUGUUUAUAUACUAUUACAUAAGAAGGUAAUAUUUUGUGCCGUAUUCAUUUUUGCUUAUAUUACCAACUACACAUUUUUAUUUUUGCAAAACCAAAUAUUAAAUAAAAAAAUAAAAAUAAUAAUUUCUGGUAAACCGACAUGGUGGGACCAGCAUAUGAUGGGUGAUAUACUGUACACUUUUUUUGUAAUAUAUAUGGGGUAAAAGGGUAAUAACGGAGGAUUACGCAUGGUCGAAAACCCAAACUUUCCUUUUUUGGUAAAAAACGAAACACACCAAAAACAGACUUUACCAAAUAAGGAAAGAAGGCCGAAAUCCUGCAGCCCAUACCCUGCAGCCCGAAAUCCUAAAGCCCCUAAAGGUCCUAAAAGCCCGAAGCCUGAAAGGUCUUUAAAACGCCCCAAGGCCCCAAGCCCCAAGGCCUUACACCAAAUAAAACUAAUAAAAGUAAGCCCCUGAAGGCCCUAAAGUCCGCAAAGCCUGAAAGGCCUUUAAAAGGCCCUAAGCAUGAGCUAGGACUGUGUAAAGUCCACAUAAUUGGGUGUGACUUGGGCUUAGUCUUGGGCUUCUUCCUCCCCAUAUGUAACUUACGUAAAGCCUAUAUGCAUCAAUUUAGAUUUGGGUUAAAUAUGGAUUGGGCUUGUUUGGAGCUUGGUAAGGCCUAUGACUGAUAUCUGAUUUUGAGUCGGCCUCGUAUUUAAAUUUUCAUCUUGUUUGGGCCCAUAUGAAGGUUUCAUAAACAAAGUAUUGAGAAAAGAGAGUACAAAAUAGACAAUCAUACAGAGAAACAUUUAAAAAAUUAAAACAUUGAAAUACAAAAAUGUUAUCAUUGGUUUAGCAUUUAAACACAAGAACAUAUAAGAGAGUACAAAACUAGCCAAGUUAAAGAGUUAAAGAAAAUAACUAAAUAACAAAAGAAAACAAAAUUGAGUUAAAAACACAAAGAAAAUUUUAUCUUAUAAAGGAAGAUACCUUGAAUAUUUAGUUUUGUUCUACAAAAUGUUACCCAAAAAAAAAUUACAAGAAUGGAAAGUUUAAUCAAAAGAAUAAAAUUUUUUCAAACAUGAUGAUCUCUGCACACAUGUGAAUUAAAAGAAAGCAGCAAUUGUGGAUAACAAAAUAUGAAAAACAGCGACCUUAAAUCAUGACGAUGAAAUUGAAACAAAAAAUAAAGAAAAUCAAUUCAAAAUCGUUAAAAAUAGAAUAACAAAACUAGCCAUGAUAACUAAACCCCUAAAACCCUAUACACAUGUUGAUAAAAAGAAAAGGAAGAUAAAAUUUUUUAAAAAAACAGCGGGUGUUCUCCAUAUAUUUUAUUUUUUAUUACGACAAAUAAAAAGGAAUAAUUUUGUGUGAUUU
Molecule: long non-coding RNA, 1674 nt
Filed under: Ananas comosus (pineapple)
Lineage: Eukaryota; Viridiplantae; Streptophyta; Magnoliopsida; Poales; Bromeliaceae
Description: long non-coding RNA (ACOM_LNC015778)
Source: RNAcentral